RNAcentral lists this ribosomal RNA (163 nucleotides) under uncultured bacterium. RNAcentral describes it as "partial 16S ribosomal RNA". It matches the Rfam family "Bacterial small subunit ribosomal RNA", at positions 355 to 511 of the family's 1533-position model. The record is from RNAcentral.
UAGGGAAUCUUCCACAAUGGACGAAAGUCUGAUGGAGCAACGCCGCGUGAGUGAGGAAGGGUUUCGGCUCGUAAACUCUGUUGUUAAAGAAGAACAUAUCUGAGAGUAACUGUUCAGGUAUUGACGGUAUUUAACCAGAAAGCCACGGCUAACUACGUGCCAG